RNAcentral lists this ribosomal RNA (468 nucleotides) under uncultured bacterium. RNAcentral describes it as "partial 16S ribosomal RNA". It matches the Rfam family "Bacterial small subunit ribosomal RNA", at positions 28 to 507 of the family's 1533-position model. The record is from RNAcentral.
GACGAACGCUGGCGGCGUGCUUAACACAUGCAAGUCGAACGGAAAGGCCCUGCUUUUGUGGGGUGCUCGAGUGGCGAACGGGUGAGUAACACGUGAGUAACCUGCCCUCGACUUUGGGAUAACUUCAGGAAACUGGGGCUAAUACCGGAUAGGAGCUCCUGCUGCAUGGUGGGGGUUGGAAAGUUUCGGCGGUUGGGGAUGGACUCGCGGCUUAUCAGCUUGUUGGUGGGGUAGUGGCUUACCAAGGCUUUGACGGGUAGCCGGCCUGAGAGGGUGACCGGCCACAUUGGGACUGAGAUACGGCCCAGACUCCUACGGGAGGCAGCAGUGGGGAAUAUUGCACAAUGGGCGGAAGCCUGAUGCAGCAACGCCGCGUGCGGGAUGACGGCCUUCGGGUUGUAAACCGCUUUCGCCUGUGACGAAGCGUGAGUGACGGUAAUGGGUAAAGAAGCACCAGCUAACUACGUG